Cavia porcellus (domestic guinea pig) is the source of this 150-nucleotide small nuclear RNA. It matches the Rfam family "U4 spliceosomal RNA". Rfam says of the family: U4 small nuclear RNA (U4 snRNA) is a component of the major U2-dependent spliceosome. The structure of U4 snRNA from yeast and human has been reported. U4 snRNA presents a k-turn RNA motif in the 5p-SL related to recognition of Snu13 protein. NCBI's taxonomy places the organism in Eukaryota, Metazoa, Chordata, Mammalia, Rodentia, Caviidae. The record is from Rfam.
AGCUUUGUGCUCUAGUAGUAUUGUAGCCAGUGGGGUUUAUCCAAGGCACAGUUAUUACUAGUUGAAAUAUAAAUAUCAUGCCUCCCUAGGAAUAACAUAAUAAUAAUGAACUUUGCUUAUUUUGUUAAUCUAUUUCAAAACUUCUAAGUA